GGGGUUCCCUCGUAGUGUGUAGACGUGUGUGUGUUGCGCUCGCUUGCUCUCUUUCCGUCCCUCCUUCUGCCUGGACGUGUGUGUGUUUGCAGCUGAUCGGAUGUCUUUCAAGGCGGGAAACAGCUGGGGGUGAAGCAUGCGGAUCAGCUGACAUGCUGGCAGGGAUUUACAACAACACCACCAACCAGAGGAGGAGGAGAGAAGAAAGAGGGCUGUUACUCAUACUGAAUGUGUGCACACCAUUUUGGGUGCAUGAAAGUUGUAGUUGUUGGAGGAGGAGGAACAGGAGUUACCUAAUCGCUCCCUGCUCGAAGCAGAAAUCACACACAGACACAAAAUGGGAGCGGUCAUGAAGAAGCCGGAAAUGUGUGUUUUACUGUGACUCAACGGCAUGCUGUGGGCAAGAGCGUGGACGACCGAGGACAUCUACGAUUUACGAACUGGAACUGAUGGAUAGACACUUGCAUUACUGUUGCAUUUAAAUAUUUUAUUUGUAACUGUCCAUAUCAUAAAAUGCAGAAGUGUAAAUGUUUUUUGGACCAAUCUAUCAAAUCUGCUCUAUUUAUUUAUUGUUUAAAAUGGAUGACUAGAAUUAUAUUCUUUGUAUUUCAUUUGUAUUUUAUUUUUUUUAACAUAGAAAUAAAGUUUUUUUUAUUAUCUAUAUCAACAAUCAAAAAUAAGGUGCCCUCAGUCAUUUUUGGUUCAUGCCAUCUUGGCAUUGAUGCAGCAUCAUUCAAAGGAAAUCACUUUUAGUUCCCAAUGCCAUUGUAGAAAUUCACUAUUCACAGUCAUUCAUGAUUAACUUAAUCAAUGAGUGAAAGUGUCCAAUAACAGGGUUGUUACUGAGAUUAAGGGAGUGGUAUUCGGCUGGUCAUGUGAUCAUAACAUGGCAGCCCCCAUGAGGAGACCCUCUCUUUGUAGAAUAAAACAGCUUCUAUAAAGUUACUGAUAUGACUGGAGUCUUUGACUCAUGUUGGUGGGCAUUGUUUUAUACAUAUUUUUUCAAGAUCAC
Molecule: long non-coding RNA, 1012 nt
Organism: Myxocyprinus asiaticus (Chinese sucker)
Lineage: Eukaryota; Metazoa; Chordata; Actinopteri; Cypriniformes; Catostomidae
Exons: 2
Source: RefSeq, a predicted model, not a curated record